This 119-nucleotide ribosomal RNA is filed under the name Aegilops tauschii subsp. strangulata. Lineage: Eukaryota; Viridiplantae; Streptophyta; Magnoliopsida; Poales; Poaceae. The record is from RNAcentral.
NNAUGCGAUCAUACCAGCACUAAAGCACCGGAUCCCAUCAGAACUCUGAAGUUAAGCGUGCUUGGGCGAGAGUAGUACUAGGAUGGGUGACCUCCUGGGAAGUCCUCGUGUUGCAUUCC